Molecule: ribosomal RNA, 742 nt
Filed under: uncultured bacterium
Lineage: Bacteria
Description: bacterial SSU rRNA
Rfam family: Bacterial small subunit ribosomal RNA
Source: RNAcentral
AGAGUUUGAUCCUGGCUCAGAACGAACGCUGGCGGCAGGCUUAACACAUGCAAGUCGAACGCACUCUUCGGAGUGAGUGGCAGACGGGUGAGUAACGCGUGGGAACGUACCUUUCGGUUCGGAAUAACCCAGGGAAACUUGGGCUAAUACCGAAUGCGCCCUUACGGGGAAAGAUUUAUCGCCGAAAGAUCGGCCCGCGUCGGAUUAGCUAGUUGGUGGGGUAAUGGCCUACCAAGGCAACGAUCCGUAGCUGGUCUGAGAGGAUGAUCAGCCACACUGGGACUGAGACACGGCCCAGACUCCUACGGGAGGCAGCAGUGGGGAAUAUUGGACAAUGGGCGAAAGCCUGAUCCAGCCAUGCCGCGUGAGUGAAGAAGGCCUUAGGGUUGUAAAGCUCUUUCAGCGGGGACGAUAAUGACGGUACCCGCAGAAGAAGCCCCGGCUAACUUCGUGCCAGCAGCCGCGGUAAUACGAAGGGGGCUAGCGUUGUUCGGAAUUACUGGGCGUAAAGCGCGCGUAGGCGGACCCUUAAGUCAGAGGUGAAAUCCCAGGGCUCAACCCUGGAACUGCCUUUGAUACUGGAGGUCUGGAGUUCGGGAGAGGUGAGUGGAAUUCCGAGUGUAGAGGUGAAAUUCGUAGAUAUUCGGAGGAACACAAGAAGCGAAGGCGGCUCACUGGCCCGAUACUGACGCUGAGGCGCGAAAGCGUGGGGAGCAAACAGGAUUAGAUACCCUAGUAGUCC